CCCUUAGACGUUCUGGGCCGCACGCGCGCUACACUGACCAGUGCAACAAGCAUCCGUCCUUGGCCGACAGGCCCGGGCAAUCUUUGAACGCUGGUCGUGAUGGGGAUAGACUUUUGCAAUUUUUGGUCUUCAACGAGGAAUUCCUAGUAAACGCAAGUCAUCAACUUGCAUUGAUUACGUCCCUGCCCUUUGUACACACCGCCCGUCGCACCUACCGAUUGAAUGGUCCGGUGAAGCCUCCGGAUUGGCGCGAACCUCGGUGCCGCCGAGAAGUUGGCUAAACCUUACCAUUUAGAGGAAGGUGAAGUCGUAACA
Molecule: ribosomal RNA, 315 nt
Filed under: uncultured eukaryote
Lineage: Eukaryota
Description: partial 18S ribosomal RNA
Rfam family: Eukaryotic small subunit ribosomal RNA
Source: RNAcentral